This 127-nucleotide non-coding RNA is filed under the name Clostridium argentinense. RNAcentral describes it as "Azaaromatic sequence". It matches the Rfam family "azaaromatic riboswitch aptamer (yjdF RNA)". Lineage: Bacteria; Bacillati; Bacillota; Clostridia; Eubacteriales; Clostridiaceae. RNAcentral also lists the same sequence under 1 other name. The record is from RNAcentral.
AAAAUAAGAGAUAAAAACACAGUUCCGUUGGUAGUCGGAACCUAUAUGUCGUUUUUAAUAUAUAGUUAAAAAUGAUAAAGUAGCAGUAACCUGCCCUCCUGGGUUGUCCAUUCUCUUAAAGGUUAAU